UGUGCCUGUGCUGUCACAGUGUGCCUGUGCUGUCAGAGUGUGCCUGUACUGUCACAGUGUGCCUGUGCUGUCAGAGUGUGCCUGUACUGUCAUAGUGUGCCUGUGCUGUCACAGUGUGCCUGUGCUGUCACAGUGUGCCUGUGCUGUCAGAGUGUGCCUGUGCUGUCACAGUGUGCCUGUGCUGUCAGAGUGUGCCUGUGCUGUCACAGUGUGCCUGUACUGUCAGAGUGUGCCUGUGCUGUCACAGUGUGCCUGUGCUGUCAGAGUGUGCCUGUGCUGUCACAGUGUGCCUGUGCUGUCAGAGUGUGCCUGUGCUGUCAGAGUGUGCCUGUACUGUCAGAGUGUGCCUGUGCUGUCACAGUGUGCCUGUACUGUCAGAGUGUGCCUGUGCUGUCAGAGUGUGCCUGUGCUGUCAGAGUGUGCCUGUGCUGUCACAGUGUGCCUGUGCUGUCAGAGUGUGCCUGUGCUGUCACAGUGUGCCUGUGCUGUCAGAGUGUGCCUGUGCUGUCAGAGUGUGCCUGUACUGUCACAGUGUGCCUGUGCUGUCAGAGUGUGCCUGUACUGUCAGAGUGUGCCUGUGCUGUCACAGUGUGCCUGUACUGUCACAGUGUGCCUGUGCUGUCAGAGUGUGCCUGUGCUGUCAGAGUGUGCCUGUGCUGUCACAGUGUGCCUGUGCUGUCAGAGUGUGCCUGUACUGUCACAGUGUGCCUGUGCUGUCAGAGUGUGCCUGUACUGUCAGAGUGUGCCUGUGCUGUCACAGUGUGCCUGUACUGUCAGAGUGUGCCUGUACUGUCACAGUGUGCCUGUGCUGUCACAGUGUGCCUGUGCUGUCACAGUGUUCCUGUGCUGUCACAGUGUGCCUGUGCUGUCACAGUGUGCCUGUACUGUCACAGUGUGCCUGUGCUGUCAGAGUGUGCCUGUACUGUCACAGUGUGCCUGUGCUGUCACAGUAUGCCUGUGCUGUCAGAGUGUGCCUGUACUGUCACAGUGUGCCUGUGCUGUCACAGUGUGCCUGUACUGUCACAGUGUGCCUGUACUUGUGCCUGUGCUGUCACAGUGUGCCUGUGCUGUCGCAGUGUGCCUGUGCUGUCACAGUGUGCCUGUGCUGUCGCAGUGUGCCUGUGCUGUCAC
This 1131-nucleotide long non-coding RNA is filed under the name Mus musculus (house mouse). RNAcentral describes it as "predicted gene 2310 (ENSMUSG00000095663.3)". Lineage: Eukaryota; Metazoa; Chordata; Mammalia; Rodentia; Muridae. The record is from RNAcentral.